RNAcentral lists this non-coding RNA (219 nucleotides) under Virgibacillus salexigens. The record is from RNAcentral. Lineage: Bacteria; Bacillati; Bacillota; Bacilli; Caryophanales; Bacillaceae.
AGAAAUGCAAGGAAGGGGACAUGGAUGAUUGUCACUCGUUACUAGAGAGGGAAAGAGAUGCUGGGAACUUCCUAACGAAAGAUAAUCAUUUACCACCUCGGAAGCUGUAUUGGGGAACCAUAGUAUCCAAUUACCGUUAGCUGCGUUAAGGCAUAUAAAGCCAAUUUAAGUUUUAUUGGAAAAUUAGGUGGAACCACGGGUUACGCACUCGUCCUUUGU